RNAcentral lists this ribosomal RNA (319 nucleotides) under uncultured bacterium. RNAcentral describes it as "bacterial SSU rRNA". It matches the Rfam family "Bacterial small subunit ribosomal RNA", at positions 1061 to 1382 of the family's 1533-position model. The record is from RNAcentral.
CGUGUCGUGAGAUGUCGGGUUAAGUCCCAUAACGAGCGAAACCCUUACCCUUAGUUGCAACCCGAAAGGGGCACUCUAGGGGGACUGCCGGUGUCAAACCGGAGGAAGGUGGGGAUGACGUCAAGUCCUCAUGGCCUUUAUGUCCAUGGCUGCUCACGUGCUACAAUGGCUGGGACGGAGGGACGCUACUACGCGAGUACGAGCCGACCCCCGAAAGCACGCCCCAAUUCAGAUCGCAUGCUGCAACCCGCCUGCUUGAAGCCGGAAUCGCUAGUAAUCGCGUGUCAGCAACACCGUGGUGACUGUGUUCCUGAGCCUU